AAUUAUUUGGCCGAGUUAUAGGCAGAUAUUUUGAAAGUAUCCUACAGAGGCUUAAUACCUCUAAUAAUUU
This 70-nucleotide transfer RNA is filed under the name Pseudosquilla ciliata. RNAcentral describes it as "tRNA-Ser". Lineage: Eukaryota; Metazoa; Arthropoda; Malacostraca; Stomatopoda; Pseudosquillidae. The record is from RNAcentral.